Molecule: ribosomal RNA, 253 nt
Filed under: uncultured bacterium
Lineage: Bacteria
Description: partial 16S ribosomal RNA
Rfam family: Bacterial small subunit ribosomal RNA
Source: RNAcentral
UACAGAGGGUGCAAGCGUUGUUCGGAAUUAUUGGGCGUAAAGCGCGUGUAGGCGGCUUAGCAAGUCGGGCGUGAAAGCCCUCGGCUCAACCGAGGAAGUGCACCCGAAACUGCUGAGCUUGAGUGCCGGAGAGGAUGGCGGAAUUCCCCAAGUAGAGGUGAAAUUCGUAGAUAUGGGGAGGAACACCGGUGGCGAAGGCGGCUAUCUGGACGGUAACUGACGCUGAGACGCGAAAGCGUGGGGAGCAAACAGG